AUUGAACGCUGGCGGCGUGCUUAACACAUGCAAGUCGAGCGGUAACAGGCGUAGCAAUACGUGCUGACGAGCGGCGAACGGGUGAGUAAUGCUUCGGAAUCUGCCCAGUAGUGGGGAAUAACCUGGGGAAACCUUGGCUAAUACCGCAUACGUUCUCCGGGUCGAUUGACCUGGGGAGGAAAGCUCCUCUAAAGGGAGCGUGCGUGGAGGGGCUCGCGGCGUAUCAGCUAGCUGGUGGGGUAACGGCUCACCAGGGCGACGACGCGUAGCCGAUCUGAGAGGAUGAUCGGCCACAUUGGGACUGAGAUACGGCCCAGACUCCUACGGGAGGCAGCAGUGGGGAAUCUUGCGCAAUGGGCGAAAGCCUGACGCAGCGACGCCGCGUGCGGGAGGAAGCUCUUCGGGGUGUAAACCGCUGUCGAGGGGGGAAGGAACGGGCGGCGGGA
RNAcentral lists this ribosomal RNA (446 nucleotides) under uncultured bacterium. Its description in RNAcentral is "bacterial SSU rRNA". It matches the Rfam family "Bacterial small subunit ribosomal RNA", at positions 28 to 463 of the family's 1533-position model. The record is from RNAcentral.